This 437-nucleotide long non-coding RNA is filed under the name Nicotiana benthamiana. Its description in RNAcentral is "long non-coding RNA (NBEN_LNC024628)". Lineage: Eukaryota; Viridiplantae; Streptophyta; Magnoliopsida; Solanales; Solanaceae. The record is from RNAcentral.
CAAGUUCUUUCAGAAGAUUAUUAUAACACAAAUUUAGUGUUUGCGGCGAAAUCAUCAAGUGUGUUGUCGGGUUUUUCGCAUGGAAGGCCAAUGGCAACUCUUGCUGAUUCUUUCCUGGCCGAUCUGGUCGAGUUGUCCGACAAUAAGAUUACAUUAACCCUCUACUACUAAUAAUGCAACCUUUUGUCCUUUUUUGGUUGUGCUUUUGAUAGAAGAAAACACCUUGCAAAUUGUUUGAUACAUUAGAUGUAACAUAUUUUUAGCUUUAUCAAUAUCAGAAUAGCUAGAGACGACUAGUUUUCUUUUAAAAAAGCAUCAGAAUUAGAGUUGCGAUAUAGAAAUUUUCUCCGGCGUAACAACGGCAACAGGAGGUAACGGUAACGGCGAGCGACGACAAGAUACUGAUGCUGCUUCAACCUCACCGCCGCCGCCACGGU